GGAAGGCAGGGAUUUCAACCUGGGCAACAAGUCCACAGAACAUGAGAUUUCUGAAGGUGUGUGGGAUACAUCAUGGUUACAUAAAAAUCCUUUCACUAUAGUUCCUGCUUCCCUAUCUUCAAAAUGAUUCCCUGAAGACUUCCGCCAUGACGGUCUAAAGCCUAACCUCUGAACUGUGGAUGGAAAAUUGAACUCCUUGAUGUGAUCUCUGCACA
RNAcentral lists this long non-coding RNA (215 nucleotides) under Homo sapiens (human). RNAcentral describes it as "long non-coding RNA NONHSAT200073.1". The record is from RNAcentral. Lineage: Eukaryota; Metazoa; Chordata; Mammalia; Primates; Hominidae.